This is a long non-coding RNA of Corapipo altera (White-ruffed manakin), 348 nucleotides long. RefSeq lists it as uncharacterized. NCBI's taxonomy places the organism in Eukaryota, Metazoa, Chordata, Aves, Passeriformes, Pipridae. The record is from RefSeq and is a predicted model, not a curated record. The transcript is spliced from 3 exons.
UCUCAAUACCAGGAUGUCAUAGAAUCAUAGAAUAUACUGAGUUGGAAGGGACCCAUCAAGAUCAUUGAGUCCAACUCCUGACCCUGUGCAGGACACCCCAAAAAUCCACACCAUGUACCUGAGAGUGUUGUCAAAAUAUCUCUUGAAGUCAGGCAAGCUUAGUGCUGUGACCACUUCCCUGGGGAGCCUGUUCCAAUAGUCAUCUACUCUCCAGGCAUCCAGGUAGGACCUCGUUUUUCUCAUUUGCUGGAUCAACCAUUUGGGAGUGAAGGGCCUGCUGAUUUCAGGAGUGCUGAGAUUAAAAAGCAUAAACGAAGAACGUGAGGUCUGGUCAAGUGAUGAAGCUGA